UACGUAGGCAGCAAGCGUUGUCCGGAAUCACUGGGCGUAAAGGGUGCGUAGGCGGCGGGGCAAGUCUGAUGUGAAAUCCCGGGGCUCAACCCCGGAACUGCAUUGGAUACUGCCUUGCUAGAGUACUGGAGAGGAGACUGGAAUUUACGGUGUAGCAGUGAAAUGCGUAGAUAUCGUAAGGAAGGCCAGUGGCGAAGGCGAGUCUCUGGACAGUUACUGACGCUGAGGCACGAAGGCCAGGGGAGCAAACGGG
RNAcentral lists this ribosomal RNA (253 nucleotides) under uncultured bacterium. RNAcentral's name for it is "partial 16S ribosomal RNA". It matches the Rfam family "Bacterial small subunit ribosomal RNA", at positions 524 to 776 of the family's 1533-position model. The record is from RNAcentral.